ACGGGUGAGUAACGCGUGGGAAUCUACCCAUCCCUACGGGAUAACACAGAGAAAUUUGUGCUAAUACCGUAUACGUCCUUCGGGAGAAAGAUUUAUCGGGGAUGGAUGAGCCCGCGUCGGAUUAGCUAGUUGGUGGGGUAAUGGCCUACCAAGGCGACGAUCCGUAGCUGGUCUGAGAGGAUGACCAGCCACAUUGGGACUGAGACACGGCCCAAACUCCUACGGGAGGCAGCAGUGGGGAAUAUUGGACAAUGGGCGCAAGCCUGAUCCAGCCAUGCCGCGUGAGUGAUGACGGCCUUAGGGUUGUAAAGCUCUUUCACCCACGACGAUAAUGACGGUAGUGGGAGAAGAAGCCCCGGCUAACUUCGUGCCAGCAGCCGCGGUAAUACGAAGGGGGCUAGCGUUGUUCGGAAUUACUGGGCGUAAAGCGUACGUAGGCGGACCGUUAAGUCAGAGGUGAAAUCCCGGAGCUCAACUUCGGAAUUGCCUUUGAUACUGGCGGUCUUGAGUUCGGGAGAGGUGAGUGGAACUGCUAGUGUAGAGGUGAAAUUCGUAGA
Molecule: ribosomal RNA, 557 nt
Filed under: uncultured bacterium
Lineage: Bacteria
Description: bacterial SSU rRNA
Rfam family: Bacterial small subunit ribosomal RNA
Source: RNAcentral